This is a long non-coding RNA of Triticum dicoccoides, 2336 nucleotides long. RefSeq lists it as uncharacterized. NCBI's taxonomy places the organism in Eukaryota, Viridiplantae, Streptophyta, Magnoliopsida, Poales, Poaceae. The transcript has 8 exons. The record is from RefSeq and is a predicted model, not a curated record.
AGCCCGCACACCUCUCUCUUUCCCCUCAGCACCGGAGGCGCGCAACACGGACGCACUGCACCGAUCCCAAGAUGCGCUAGGGCUGGCUCGCCGCUGAUGGCGAUGGCUAUCAAAUGGCAACUACGGCGACGUUGACGCACUUUUUAUCCCCUACCGCUGCCGCCUCCCGAGAUCCUGAGCGCGGCGACAAGCAGAUUUCCUUGGAUGUCUCCUUGCCCCUACCGUGCUCGAUUUCAUUCAAAGGCUUCAGGACCUAUUUGCGAUGAAGACUGAAUGCACGUGAAAAAUACGAUCAGGAUGCAAUCGAGGAAUAUAUGGGACUAUUUCUGCAAUUGUUGUCCCUCCCUAACUCCGUUGAGUCGAUAACCAUAUCAUCCUGUGAUAUGGGUUAAGGAAGACAAGGUAGUGCACUUCCAGAUGUUUGUCCUCCUCUCCUAGACGAUGGACAGUGCAGUGAACACGAGCAAAUAAAUUGGUAGAAGGUGCAGACGACUAUCUGAACCAAGGCUUGUGUAAUAUGUAAAGUGAGUUGCAGAUGCAGUAUCUACCUCUUUGAUAAGUAUUGGGUGUAGGUAAGACACAUCUAAUCUGAAUUGAGAUAUGGAUGGCGUGAAUAGUCUGUAUGUUUGAUUUUCGAUUGAAUGUUGAAUUAUUAUCAACUAGAUCUUCCUCCACCGACAUUACUAGCUCCUCCUUGAAUACCAACUGUCGGAAAGAGAGCAAUGGUACUGUGAUUGUACUGUUUUAUGCCAGGUGUUAAGGAAUACUAUUUGCAAGCAGUUAGCGAGGAACUGACGGUGCAUUAUAUUGUAUAGAAGGUUCUUUUGAUCCUGAAAAGCCAAUUGUGCAUUUAAUGUUCUAUACCUAAUUUGGCCCUCCUGAAUCUCGUCCAUUCCUAAAUGUAUGUCUUUUUAGAUAUUUCAAUAUGAACUACAUACAAAUGUAUGUAGACAUAGUUUAGAGUGUAGAUUCACUUAUUUUGCUACGAAUGUAGUCUAUAUUGGAAUCUCUAAAAAAGACUUAUAUUUGGGAAUGGAGGGAGUACAUAUACAUAUGUUAGUUAUGUCAAGCACUUUUUUAGUCUCAGCUUUUGUAAAUCUUGUGACUUAUCAAUGCCAGCUUACUAGACAAUGCGAAGGAAGCCCAGAAGUGUGAUUCAGUGGAUAUAUUGUUGUUGCAUAUGCCUUGCAUGCAAAUUUAAAUAUGAGGGAUUCAAGGGCUAGGUAGCAUGCUUCUACUUGACUGAAUUUAAGUAGGAGAGAUUAUCAAUUGCAUGCCGAGUCUUGUUGUACUUUCUGGGUUGUUUGAUUUCCUUUGGUGGUUUUUCAAAAUAAUCUUGAUUUAACCAUGAUUUGCUCUGGUGGUUUUUUGAGAUAGUCUUCGUUUCGCAAAGACAUCAUAGUGAUCGCGCCUGGAAUACUCAAUGUCUUUGCUUGUGGUUUGUGUUCUUCAGGUCUUCACUUGCCAUGAUAUAUCUCUGAUUUCUUCUUCUCUGUUCUAAAUAGAGUCUGUUCUGUUUGCACCAAUUCGAGAUAAUGGUCGUAGAAUGCAGCAGCCAAGACAACAAGAUCAAGCUCGACUUAGGACUGAUGACAAAUAAAAUUUGAUUCAGAUGGUUCCUUGCAUCUUCCUCUCAUAAUUAAACCUAAUAAUACAAUUUUUUGUGCUCUUGCUUCUGCAGAUUCUAAAGAAUUGAUUCGUUGUUCGGGCAUUUCGUGCAUUUGGAGUUCACAGAUAAUACCGACAAUUUCUCAAACCGGAGUUCAGUCAGUAGGUUAGUAAAUAAAGCCGGAGUUCGCAUGGAGCACCAACGAUAACCUCAAGCAGAUGCAUCGAGAUAGGCAAAUCAGAGUUUAUGGCACCCAAACUCUUCACUGGCAAUUUUAACGAGUUGGUGGACAUAUAUUCGUUUUGGAUGUGCAUGCCUGAAAUGAAAAGAAAAUGAUGGAAAAGUCUUGGACCUUGCUUAAUGCUUGGAACUACACCUUUCCAAACAUCCUUGUUGCUUGAUGCCAAGAGGAUUUCUCCAAGAGACUGGAACUAUGUUCCUCUGUAGUUCUCCAUUCAGACAUUUCUAUGGUUAGAGCUUUCUUCUGACAAAAUUGUGCUGGUGUCUGGAUGUAAAAUGUAUUUCCUAUUACAGCUGAGAAAGAGAGUAAGUAAAAAGGGUAAGCCAAGGGCUAGCCUAAAAUUCCAAAAGGACUAUUUCCUGAGGUAUUUGUCGCCGGCCAACCUGUCAUCAACCCAGGGUUGGUCGCUUGAACGACAUUCACUUCGAGGGAGUUUUGAUUAAAAGUUUGUGACUUAUCAUGCAUGGAACAUGCAUCUUUUGUUAA